GGUCUCUUUGUGCGCCCGCCUGCUCUCAUAUCUGUCCGUUUCCACUUCGCUGCUCUCCACCGGUCUCGGCGUGGUCUGUGGAUUCCGGAGAGCAAGGCAUGCGUCGGCUUCGUGCCGCAGGUUCCUGGCCCACGCCAGCCGGACCCAGUAGCAUAAUGGGGUUUGAGAACAUACGCUGGCUGCCUACGCUUGAAGAAAGGGCUUUGCUCCUACUCACACUGGCAAGUUGGAUGCCUUUUUACUGCAUUGCUGUCAGCUAUCUGAACAUGAGUGGCUGUAGGGUGUAAGCUAUGCAUGCUGGCUGCCCUACGCCCGCCCAGACUGAACCAGGACCUCACUUGAACAUGAGUAUUAGACAAUGUAAAAACUUACCUUGCCCAGACUUGAUAUAACAGCUUGGAAAUGCAUAGUUUCGUGAAAGAGCCUAAUAAAAUACUUUUUAAAGUA
RNAcentral lists this long non-coding RNA (447 nucleotides) under Mus pahari (shrew mouse). RNAcentral's name for it is "lncRNA (MGP_PahariEiJ_G0012231.1)". The record is from RNAcentral. Lineage: Eukaryota; Metazoa; Chordata; Mammalia; Rodentia; Muridae.